ACAUCAAUCUCUCUUUUGGGUGUUCAAUUUUACUCCAUUCACGUGGACUUCAAGCUCAAGUCUCAUACACAAAUGGUGAUAAAGUAUCGAGUGUCAGCCACCAAGACAAGAAAAGAACAGGUUCACCGGUAAAAAGGCUAUUGAAAUCAAAAUAUGUUGGGCUCACAAAGGUAGUGUAUUUCUCACCCUAUUCUUUAAUUCUCUUAACCAAUAUGUUUUUUGCUGCCUGAAUGUAGUUAUAGUUCUAAAAAAGUAAGAAAUGUGAUAGUAUGACUACUUUUUGUAACAUAUUCUUCAUAAUGAAGUUGUGUGUUGGGGUUUGCAUCUUGAUGUAAAGGCAUCAUUGGUACUUUGAUAUUGGACUAA
Salvia hispanica is the source of this 366-nucleotide non-coding RNA. The record is from RefSeq and is a predicted model, not a curated record. Lineage: Eukaryota; Viridiplantae; Streptophyta; Magnoliopsida; Lamiales; Lamiaceae.